GCUCUUUCAAUCCAACUGUUCAUGUAGCGUAUUGGACUUGCUGUUGCUUUAAUAUAGAUUUUCUCUUACUUUUGCAACAAUCUCAAAUUCCAACCCUCACCCAUAUCCACGAACUCAGAGUUAGUUGAUAGGUUAAUUAAUUCAAAGAGUGGUAGAAAGAACAAUGACAACCCCACUUUCUACACCGUGAUCCCUCAGACAUGAACCCAUCUUCCACACCCUCACAUCACAACAAUAAUCCUAUCCCAUCUACUAAAAUCUAUAUAUAAUAGUUCAUUAUUCUUAAUAGAUUCCUUAUUCAAAACAAACAUCCUAUUCCACUCCUAUCCAAAUGUACUUCUUUAAAUAGGGUUGGGAACAUCAAGUCUAUAUAAGGGGCCUACUGCAAUAGUUUUCUUGUUUCUACUAAUAUUCUCUCAAAGAAUUCUUUCGGCCAAGAGAUUUAAUAGAAUGAUCCAUGAAUAAGCACCACAAGGUAAGUUUCCAGUCCAUCAUACAUGAUGGUUUCAUUGAUAUUGUUCUUGAUAUCUCCACCGGCAACCAAUUGUUGGCCUUCUCCAACAUGAGCACAUCUUUGGAUCGAUCACCAAAGAUCAGCAAGCAACUGCUUCAGCGAGCAAGGGAGAAGAUGGAGGAAAACUAGAUCAGAAGCAGCCUCCCAAGUUCAUCACAUGAAAUGCCAACAGUUUGCUUCUCUACAUGAAGAACAAUCAAAACGAUUUCUGCAGAUUUUUCUAGUCCCACAAACCUAACGCCAUGUGCAUUUUUUUUCUCUCUCUAAUGUUAAUGCCGAUUUCUGUAGUUUAAGGGUUGUGGGUUUUUGUUUUCCAAAACCUUCUGAUGCAUAUAAUAUGAAUCCACUACAUUUGAAAAAUUUAUAUCGUGUCAUCUACAAAUACGAAUAACAGCAUGUUACCACCACAUCAGAGAAUCAGGAACCACAACAUAAACAUUAAUAAUCCUUUUGAGCACAUAGAAAACAAAUAGCAAGCAUUACAUCAAUCAUAUCAUAAAGAUAAUUUCAUAUUCCACCAGUAAUACUUCAAAAAUCUUUAAAGUUCAAUAAAGGCUACAGGCGGUGAUGGUGACCGUGUUUGUGUUUAAGGAUGACAAAGUGGUGGUGAUGGGGGUGAAGGGGCAGUAACAAGGUGCAAGAAGGAAAGGGAGAGGUAGAGAAGGAACCAAUGGUAGUUGCAUACCUAGGGAAAAGAAAAAUCAUUUCUAGCCGGAUAGCUUAUUCGCAAGAUUUGAUAAUCCCCAUCCCUUCGAUUAGUUAUCUUUACAUUUUAUUUAUGCCAAUGUCUAAUAUAACUUUCUUAUUUAAUUAUUUGAUAAAUUAAUUCUCAAAUUGCACUAUUUCACCGCGCAUCGCCCGGUUAUCAUACUUGUUAAACAUUAAUGGACAAAACAAAGAUACACUAUAAUUACAAAAAAAAAAAAAGAAUACCAAGCAUAACCCACUAAAACAAAUCCACAGGAGGCUGGGACCCUAUAACCCAUCAACACACUAAUCAGCUGUGUCUCCCUAAGUCAAUCAAGAGAACACAAUUUAAUCGAACUAGGAUUCGCAACGGAGAACCCUAAGAUCGUGAGGAUAAUCUCAUAAAGAUGAAAACUUUUUCACCAUGCUACGGGUUUGGAGAAAAAUUCGAUUCAGAACACCAAUAUUUGAUCCAGAGAAAGCUAACGGAGAACUACUAAGGAUCGAGAAGAAGAAGGGAACCCCUUAAUUUGUUCGCCAGUGGAAAGAAAGGGGGAGGAUGGGGGAUUUCUCACCGACGACGCUGGAACCACCGCCGGAGCCUCCGAGCGUCAUGGACGAUCUCUUCUCUUCUCUGUCUCGAUCUCUCGGGGAUCUGAGAUCCCGAAGUCUCCUGUCACCGGAGGAGAUUGAUCGAUCUUUAUCGAUCGAUCUCGGAAAGUAUCUCUCGCUUUCUUAGUGCCGUCGGCGGAGAUAUUUAAUGUGGAAGGGACCCAGAACGAAGAUGACGGGCCCGGGCCGCCCAUGUAGACUGCGUCAAGCCCACUUUGCGGUAAAUUUAGG
This 2044-nucleotide long non-coding RNA is filed under the name Elaeis guineensis (African oil palm). Its description in RNAcentral is "long non-coding RNA (EGUI_LNC074605)". The record is from RNAcentral. Lineage: Eukaryota; Viridiplantae; Streptophyta; Magnoliopsida; Arecales; Arecaceae.